Molecule: ribosomal RNA, 253 nt
Filed under: uncultured bacterium
Lineage: Bacteria
Description: partial 16S ribosomal RNA
Rfam family: Bacterial small subunit ribosomal RNA
Source: RNAcentral
UACGGAGGGAGCUAGCGUGGUUCGGAAUUACUGGGCGUAAAGCGCACGUAGGCGGCUUUGUAAGUUAGAGGUGAAAGCCCGGGGCUCAACCCCGGAAUUGCCUUUAAGACUGCAUCGCUUGAAUCCGGGAGAGGUGAGUGGAAUUCCGAGUGUAGAGGUGAAAUUCGUAGAUAUUCGCAAGAACACCAGUGGCGAAGGCGGCUCACUGGCCCGAUACUGACGCUGAGGCACGAAAGCGUGGGGAGCAAACAGG